AGAGUUUGAUCCUGGCUCAGAAUCAACGCUGGCGGCGUGCCUAACACAUGCAAGUCGAACGCGAAAGGGGCUUCGGCCCUGAGUAGAGUGGCGAACGGGUGAGUAACACGUGGGUGAUCUACCUCGAAGUGGGGGAUAACGUUCCGAAAGGAGCGCUAAUACCGCAUGACGUUCUGGGUUUGAAGACCUGGAGACCAAAGCUGGGGACCGCAAGGCUGGCGCUUGGAGAGGAGCCCGCGCCUGAUUAGCUAGUUGGCGGGGUAAUGGCCCACCAAGGCGACGAUCAGUAGCCGGCCUGAGAGGGCGGACGGCCACACUGGGACUGAGACACGGCCCAGACUCCUACGGGAGGCAGCAGUGGGGAAUUGUUCGCAAUGGGCGCAAGCCUGACGACGCAACGCCGCGUGGAGGAUGAAGGCCUUCGGGUCGUAAACUCCUGUUGAUCGGGAAGAAUGUGCUCGGGGCUAAUCACCGGAGCAGUGACGGUACCGAUUGAGGAAGCCACGGCUAACUCUGUGCCAGCAGCCGCGGUAAUACAGAGGUGGCAAGCGUUGUUCGGAAUUACUGGGCGUAAAGGGCGCGUAGGUGGCCUUGUCAGUCCGACGUGAAAUCCCCAGGCUUAACCUGGGAACUGCGUCGGAUACUACGAGGCUGGAGUGCGGGAGAGGGAUGUGGAAUUCCAGGUGUAGCGGUGAAAUGCGUAGAUAUCUGGAGGAACACCGGUGGCGAAGGCGGCAUCCUGGACCGACACUGACGCUGAGGCGCGAAAGCUAGGGGAGCAAACGGGAUUAGAUACCCUAGUAGUCC
Molecule: ribosomal RNA, 807 nt
Filed under: uncultured bacterium
Lineage: Bacteria
Description: bacterial SSU rRNA
Rfam family: Bacterial small subunit ribosomal RNA
Source: RNAcentral